UACGUAGGGUGCGAGCGUUAUCCGGAAUCAUUGGGCGUAAAGAGCUCGUAGGCGGUUCAACAAGUCGGCUGUGAAAGUCCGGGGCUCAACCCCGGAAUUGCAGUCGAUACUGUUGUGACUUGAGUCCGGUAGAGGAGAAUGGAAUUCCCGGUGUAGCGGUGGAAUGCGCAGAUAUCGGGAGGAACACCAGUAGCGAAGGCGGUUCUCUGGGCCGGCACUGACGCUGAGGAGCGAAAGCGUGGGGAGCAAACAGGAUUAGAUACCCCCGUAGU
Molecule: ribosomal RNA, 272 nt
Filed under: uncultured prokaryote
Description: partial 16S ribosomal RNA
Rfam family: Bacterial small subunit ribosomal RNA
Source: RNAcentral